AGCUAGUUGUAUUUAACUAAUAGUUAAUACAAGAUCGACUAUGUCGACUAAAGUUCUAGGUAGAAUAAUGAUGAUGACAAUUUUCUACCUAUAUGUCUUGACCAAAUCUCGUGCCAGCAGUCGCGGUAAUACGUGAAAGACUAGUGUUAUUCAUCUUUAAUAGGUUUAAAGGGUACCUAGACGGUUUAUCUAGCCCAAAACAGGGUACGGAUUUUCUAGAGUUUUAUGUGAGGAGGGGAGUACUCAUAGAGUAGAGAUGAAAUUUUGUGAUACUAUGAGGAAACUGGUGGCGGCGAAAGCAACCUUCUAUGUAUAAACUGACGUUGAGGGACGAAGGCUUGGGUAGCAAAUAGGAUUAGAUACCCUAGUAGUCCAAGCAGACAAUUCUGAAUGUCAUAGAUUAGAUUUUUUUUGGUCUAUAAAUGAAAGUGUAAGCAUUCCACCUUAGGAGUAAUGUGGCAACACAGGAACUGAAAUCAUUAGACCGUUUCUGAAACCAGUAGUGAAGUAUGUUAUUUAAUUUGUUAGUCCUCAAAAAACCUUACCACAACUUGAAUGUUAUUUAAUUAAUACAAGCGUUGCACGGCUGUCUUCAGUUAAUGUCGUGAGAUUUUGGUUAACUCCCUCAAUUAACGUAAACCCUUACUUU
Molecule: ribosomal RNA, 649 nt
Filed under: Sarcogyne coeruleonigricans
Lineage: Eukaryota; Fungi; Ascomycota; Lecanoromycetes; Acarosporales; Acarosporaceae
Description: SSU rRNA
Rfam family: Bacterial small subunit ribosomal RNA
Source: RNAcentral